GUAGGGUAACGGCCUACCAAGGCAAAGACGGGUAGCUGGUCUGAGAGGAUGAUCAGCCACACUGGCACUGGAACACGGGCCAGACUCCUACGGGUGGCAGCAGUGGGGAAUAUUGGACAAUGGGCGCAAGCCUGAUCCAGCGACGCCGCGUGAGUGAUGAAGGCCUUCGGGUUGUAAAGCUCUGUGGGGAGGGACGAAAAAGGUGGGUUCAAAUAGGGCCUGCCCUUGACGGUACCUCCUUAGCAAGCACCGGCUAACUCUGUGCCAGCAGCCGCGGUAAGACAGAGGGUGCGAACGUUGCUCGGAAUUACUGGGCGUAAAGCGCGUGUAGGCGGAUUCGCAAGUCGGGUGUGAAAUCCCCGGGCUCAACCUGGGAACUGCAUCCGAAACUGCGUGUCUAGAGUGCCGGAGAGGGAAGCGGAAUUCCUGGUGUAGAGGUGAAAUUCGUAGAUAUCAGGAGGAACACCGGUGGCGAAGGCGGCUUCCUGGACGGUGACUGACGCUGAGACGCGAAAGCGUGGGGAGCAAACAGGAUUAGAUACCCUGGUAGUCCACGCCGUAAACGAUGGGUGCUAGGUGUCGCGGGUUUUGACCCCUGCGGUGCCGUAGCUAACGCGUUAAGCA
This 624-nucleotide ribosomal RNA is filed under the name uncultured Actinobacteridae bacterium. RNAcentral describes it as "bacterial SSU rRNA". It matches the Rfam family "Bacterial small subunit ribosomal RNA", at positions 252 to 866 of the family's 1533-position model. Lineage: Bacteria; Bacillati; Actinomycetota; Actinomycetes. The record is from RNAcentral.